RNAcentral lists this ribosomal RNA (253 nucleotides) under uncultured bacterium. RNAcentral describes it as "partial 16S ribosomal RNA". It matches the Rfam family "Bacterial small subunit ribosomal RNA", at positions 524 to 776 of the family's 1533-position model. The record is from RNAcentral.
UACGUAGGGUGCAAGCGUUGUCCGGAAUUAUUGGGCGUAAAGAGCUCGUAGGCGGUCUGUCGCGUCGGCUGUGAAAACCCGGGGCUCAACCCCGGGCCUGCAGUCGAUACGGGCAGACUAGAGUGCGGUAGGGGAGACUGGAAUUCCUGGUGUAGCGGUGAAAUGCGCAGAUAUCAGGAGGAACACCGGUGGCGAAGGCGGUUCUCUGGGCAUGUCCUGACGCUGAGGAGCGAAAGUGUGGGGAGCGAACAGG